Molecule: RNA transcript, 3854 nt
Organism: Salmo salar (Atlantic salmon)
Lineage: Eukaryota; Metazoa; Chordata; Actinopteri; Salmoniformes; Salmonidae
Gene name: endoplasmic reticulum disulfide reductase DNAJC10
Source: RefSeq, a predicted model, not a curated record
UAAAUUGUACAUGUAGGUAGGGGUAAAGUGAGUGUGCAUAGAUUUUAAAUAGCGAGUAGCAGCAGUCUUUUAUAGCUUGGGGGUAGAAGCUGUUAAGGAGCCUUUUGGACCUAAACUUGGCGCUCCGGUACCGCUUGACGUGCGGUAGCAGAGCGAACAGUCACGCUUAGAUGGAGUUUUGGCUGCCAGAACCAGUCUACCUCUGAAAAUAACAUACGGUACCUAAAUGAGUAGCGCUCGUCUCGUUAAGAGUCCACCUUGGGCUACUAAGUUAGCUAACUAGCCUGGUCUCUGUACACUGAUAUAGCUAGCUAGCCUUGUAGCUUGUGAAGAAAUCAUUGAUGCAAGAUCCUUGCCAAAUUAUGAUCGUAUGAUCUUGCAUCUCUGGAAAGAAACACUGAUCUGAAUUGCAUACAGACGUCAGAACAUUCUAGGGUUGCUUCUCCUACUUAGGAUGAGGUGUGUGACCCUAACAAUUUAAGAGAUCCAGCACUGAAACUUGUUGCACUGUGUGUUUACCGAGGAGACCUGUGGCAAUGGAAUCUCUACCACCAGAAAAAUCAAAACUAGCCUGUCAAGUUCAGAAUCCAGGGCAGAUGCUUUGGAGCAGAAUUUUGCUGGGAUCCCUGCUUGUCUUCAGUUGCCUGGUAGCUUCUGUGUCAUCUGAGGAUUACUAUAAGUUACUGAAGGUGUCCAGAGAAGCCACAACCAGAGAGAUACGACAAGCCUUCAAAAAGCUGGCCCUGACCAUGCAUCCAGAUAAAAACCCACAUGAUGAAACUGCCCACGACAAGUUCCUGAAAGUAACCCGGGCAUAUGAAGUUCUGAAGGAUGACGAUCUGAGAAAGAAGUAUGACAAGUAUGGCGAGAAGGGUCUGCAGGACGAGCAGCAGGGAGGAGGACGAUAUGAGAGCUGGAACUACUAUAGAAAUGAAUUUGGUAUCUACGAUGACGACCUAGAGAUUGUCACUUUAGAUAGGGGAGACUUCGAUGCAGCAGUGAACUCUGGGGAACUCUGGUUUGUCAACUUCUACUUCCCUCGUUGUCAUCACUGUCACGAGCUGGCUCCCAUGUGGAGGGAGUUUGCUAAGGAGAUGGAUGGAGUGAUCAGGAUAGGAGCAGUGAACUGCGGAGACAACAACAGACUGUGUCGCAGCAAAGGCAUCAACAGCUACCCCAGCCUCUACAUUUACAAGGCUGGAAUGAAUCCAGAGAAAUACUUUGGAGAUAGGUCCAAGGAGAGUUUGAAUAAGUUUGGCAUGCAGUUUGUGAAGAGCAGAGUUACAGAGCUGUGGCAAGGCAAUGUCUUCACUGAGAUUGAGGCAGCGUUUUCAUCGGGAGUUGGAUGGCUGAUCACCUUCUGUUCUGACUCAGGAGACUGUCUAGAGUCACAGACGAGGCAAAAAUUAGCAGGAAUGUUGGAGGGUUUAGUGAAUGUGGGCUGGAUGGACUGCUCUACACAGCCUGAGUUGUGUGACAGCUUUGAGGUGACCACCAGCACAACAGCCUUCUUCCCCCCCGGCAGGUCAUUGAAGAGCAAGGGCAGCAUGCUGUUUCUGCAGAGUUUGGACACCAGAGAGAUCUAUGGAGAGGUGAUGCAGUGUCUGCCUGACCUGGUGGCUCUUACUAAGGACACCUUUAAGAGUAAACUGGCCCAUCGGUGGCUGGUCAGUUUUUCCUUUGGACAGAAGACCACAGCGUCUCAUGAGUAUAAGAAGCUCAAGGCUCUUCUGAAGGGGGCCCACAUACAUGUGGGAAAGGUGGACUGCCUUACUGAGUCAGAACUGUGUGGCUCCCUCUACAUUCAAAAGCCCUGCAUCGCGGUCUUUAAAGGCCUUGGGAUUCAUGACUUUGAGAUACACCAUGGGAAGGAUGUGCUAUAUAACAUUGUAGCGUUUGCUAAGGAGAGUGUCAGCGCCCAUGUCACCACUCUCAGACCAGAGAACUUCCCCAGUGAUGGAAAGGAGCCCUGGAUAGUUGACUUCUUUGCUCCUUGGUGUCCGCCCUGUCGGGCUCUCCUCCCUGAGCUGAGGAAAGCCUCGAUCCAGCUGUUUGGUCAGAUGAAGUUUGGAACACUGGACUGUACCGUGCACGAGGGCCUUUGCAGCGUGUAUAAUAUCCAUGCCUACCCGACCACGGUCAUCUUUAACAAGUCCUCCAUCCAUGAGUACGAGGGACAUCACUCUGCUGAUGGAAUCCUGGAGUUCAUACAGGACUUGGUCAACCCCACGGUGGUGACCAUGGACCAAGACAGCUUUGCAGAGCUGGUAAAGAGGAGGAAACACAGUGAGACCUGGAUGGUGGAUUUCUAUGCCCCAUGGUGUGGGCCCUGUCAGGCCUUGCUGCCUGAGUGGAGGAGGAUGGCACGGGCGCUCAAUGGUAUGAUAAAGGUGGGGACGGUGGACUGUCAGAAACACCACUCCUUCUGCCAGGGAGAGGGGGUCAGAGGCUACCCUGAGAUACGCCUCUACCCACAGAACGCCAACCGACGAGACGUAUACCAGAGUUACAACGGCUGGCAUCGAGAUGCUCACUCUCUCAAAGUCUGGGCUAUGGGGCACUCUUCCAAGAGCGUCAGUGGAUCUGACUCCAGAGGACUUCAGGAACAAGGUGAUGGGAGGGAAGGAUCACUGGGUGGUGGACUUCUAUGCUCCGUGGUGUGGAACAUGCCAGCACUUUGCCCCAGAGUUUGAGGUCCUCGCUCGGAUGGUGACAGGAAGCUUGAGGGCAGGGAAAGUAGACUGUCAGGCCCACUAUCAAACCUGUCAGUCAGCUGGAAUCACAGCCUAUCCCAGCGUCCGAUUCUACCCACACCUGGGCACCAAGAAGCAUGACCAGGGAGGGGAGCACGUCAACAGCCGGGAUGCUACUAACAUCGCCAACCUCCUCCGUCAGAGGCUCCAGCAGCUAUCUCCAUGGUUACAUGGCAAGGCCGCCAACUUCAAGGAUGAAUUGUGAGUUCAAGAGGGUCUAUUCGAGAGAUCCAAGAUUCACUGAGAUGCUUUUCCUUAAGGGAAAUGUAAACAACGAACAGUCAAACCUACACACUUAACAAACAUACUCUGAGAAGAGAGGUUUACUGCCAAAGAACAUUUGCAAAGAAGACGUUAUCGAGCAGUUAUCUCAGUAUUGUCGGUCUGUCAAAACAAGAUGUAUUUAAUUUCUCUAAACUGAUUCAAUGAUUAGGAAAGACUGACUCACUGUCCUGUCGGAAAUGUUAAUAGUUAUAGAGGUGGAAUGUGUCUGUACGGUAGGUGCUGACCUGCCUGGUAUCUGAAUGUACUGUCUGAUGUAGGUUCGUGACAACAUAUUUUAUUUAUGAUGAUACAAAACGGCAGUUUCAGUUUACAAUGGGCUUGCCAACUCGUGUUGAUUCAACUUUAACCAUUUGAGUGUAGAGAACAGUGUUUUAUUCAUUCUGUGAAGUGACCACACUGUACUGAAUGUGGUGUUGGUAUGUUUGUCUGCUGAAAGUAACCUAAUUGUUCAGUAUCCAACCUCUGUAAACAGUUUAGAAAAAGGAACCCUGUACACUUAAAAAAAAUGAACAUGAAAUAUGUUGCCAAUACCCUCCACAUCAUUCACUCCACAUCAUAAAUGUAUCUGUUACGGUUUACCGUCCUUGAAGUGUGGAUGGGAAUCAUUUGGUUAGUUGUGGGAUGAUGCAGUCUUGCAAAAGUUUAUUUUCAACUCAAAAAUAAAAUGCUGUCCUUGGAUGAUGUUUGAGAACUUGUGAUCUUAAAUGCCAAUAGUGUCCCCUUUAAGACACUCCAAAGAGGUAUCCUUCUCUUUUCCUUUCAAGUUGUUUUGCCCAGACCCUUGUAUGGAAUAAAUGUCAUGUUUUUUAAACCUUA